CGGGGAAUAUUGGACAAUGGGCGCAAGCCUGAUCCAGCCAUGCCGCGUGAGUGAUGAAGGCCCUAGGGUUGUAAAGCUCUUUCACCGGUGAAGAUAAUGACGGUAACCGGAGAAGAAGCCCCGGCUAACUUCGUGCCAGCAGCCGCGGUAAUACGAAGGGGGCUAGCGUUGUUCGGAUUUACUGGGCGUAAAGCGCACGUAGGCGGACUUUUAAGUCAGGGGUGAAAUCCCGGGGCUCAACCCCGGAACUGCCUUUGAUACUGGAAGUCUUGAGUGUGGUAGAGGUGAGUGGAAUUCCGAGUGUAGAGGUGAAAUUCGUAGAUAUUCGGGGGAAAACCAGUGGGGGAGGCGGCUCGCUGGGCCAUUACUGACGCUGAGGUGCGAAAGCGUGGGGAGCAAACAGG
RNAcentral lists this ribosomal RNA (404 nucleotides) under Verrucomicrobiota bacterium. RNAcentral's name for it is "Verrucomicrobia bacterium partial 16S ribosomal RNA". It matches the Rfam family "Bacterial small subunit ribosomal RNA", at positions 355 to 776 of the family's 1533-position model. Lineage: Bacteria; Pseudomonadati; Verrucomicrobiota. The record is from RNAcentral.